GUACGCGGACAGAGUCUCCCCAAUACGUCCAAGGCGUCGCAAUCCAAACAAUCAACGAAUGUUCCAACUAGGAACGGAUAUCAAUCCAGAUUGCAUAAGGAAGUAUCAAAUACAUAAUCUACUUGCUAUUACAAUCAUUAAUUUUACAAUCACUUUUUACAUCACAGUUUCUGUUUACAUUUUUACUUCCAAAUUACAAUCUCGCUAUUACAUCAGAGUUAUCAAGUUUGAUACAUUUUCUUUUCUUGUCUUCUAGACCCCUAAGCUAGACUGUCUCAGGGUACUGCUACCUCGGUCUCUGUGGUGGGGCGCUAUCUACUGAGCUACGCCCUCGCCUCGCGCCGCCGCGCCACACACGAACAACCUGAAAACACCCCAAAACCAC
This 385-nucleotide long non-coding RNA is filed under the name Ananas comosus (pineapple). Its description in RNAcentral is "long non-coding RNA (ACOM_LNC018024)". The record is from RNAcentral. Lineage: Eukaryota; Viridiplantae; Streptophyta; Magnoliopsida; Poales; Bromeliaceae.